RNAcentral lists this ribosomal RNA (253 nucleotides) under uncultured bacterium. Its description in RNAcentral is "partial 16S ribosomal RNA". It matches the Rfam family "Bacterial small subunit ribosomal RNA", at positions 524 to 776 of the family's 1533-position model. The record is from RNAcentral.
UACGUAGGUGGCAAGCGUUGUCCGGAAUUAUUGGGCGUAAAGAGCUCGUAGGCGGUUUGUCGCGUCUGCCGUGAAAGCCCUCGGCUCAACCGAGGAAGUGCAUACGAAACUGGCGAGCUUGAAUAUGGAAGAGGGUCGCGGAAUUCCCGGUGUAGAGGUGAAAUUCGUAGAUAUCGGGAGGAACACCAGUGGCGAAGGCGGCGACCUGGGCCAAUAUUGACGCUGAGGUGCGAAAGCGUGGGGAGCAAACAGG